Phyllostomus hastatus (greater spear-nosed bat) is the source of this 107-nucleotide small nuclear RNA. The record is from RefSeq and is a predicted model, not a curated record. NCBI's taxonomy places the organism in Eukaryota, Metazoa, Chordata, Mammalia, Chiroptera, Phyllostomidae.
GUGCUCGCUUCGGCAGCACAUAUACUAAAAUUGGAACGAGACAGAGAAGAUUAGCAUGGCCCCUGUGCAAGGAUAAUACGCAAAUUCAUUAAGCAUUCCAUAUUUUA